Triticum dicoccoides is the source of this 675-nucleotide long non-coding RNA. RefSeq lists it as uncharacterized. The record is from RefSeq and is a predicted model, not a curated record. NCBI's taxonomy places the organism in Eukaryota, Viridiplantae, Streptophyta, Magnoliopsida, Poales, Poaceae. The transcript has 3 exons.
GCACGUCGUGGAGGAUUGCUGGUGUGUGUCCCUGCACUGCGCCCCACUCUGGCAUGCGGCAGCCACACCGCAGGUCUCCGCUCACAGCUACUAUGCACCCACACGAGCCGCCGUCGCGGCGCGAGCUCCGCCUGGCGGCGCACUGCCGCAACCAGCUUUGCGACACUCACUGCCCACGGUCGACCUGUGAGCCACCUGCACCGCCGUGACGCGCUGCUCGAUCCCCUCCAUGGCCUCGUGCUCGCCGCUGUAGUCUCACGCGAGCCCCGCGCUGGCCAUUGCCAUGGCCGCGGAGUGGGGCAAGACUCGUGGAGGUGCGCAUGGGGGGAGCAUAUUGGCUCACGCUCCUCAAUUCUGGUCGGGUGUCGUUGGAUUGGGCGGCGAAGAUGGCGAAUUCCGGCGCCUCAGGUGCCACAGAGAGUAAUGAGUUCCUGGGUGGAUGCUAAGGAAGUAGAGACGAGGACUUGGAUAUAAUUCGAGGUGCCCGACAUUGUUUUCUAGCAAAAAGGGUGGUGCAGUCAUGCGGCUCUUAUAUUUCGAGAAAUAAAACCUUAUGGUUAUAUUGUAAAUUGGUGCUACGACGUCAGGCAAGUGGUGGAUCCCUCAUCCCUGCAUGAAGUCCCAGUUUAGAUAGUAAUACUAUUUAAAUUGACUCAUGACCAACUGUUAGAAUCU